UACGAAGGGGGCUAGCGUUGCUCGGAUUUACUGGGCGUAAAGAGCUCGUAGGCGGUCUGUCGCGUCGGUCGUGAAAACUUGGGGCUUAACCCUGAGCUUGCGGUCGAUACGGGCAUGACUGGAGUUCGGCAGGGGAGACUGGAAUUCCUGGUGUAGCGGUGAAAUGCGCAGAUAUCAGGAGGAACACCGGUGGCGAAGGCGGGUCUCUGGGCCGAUACUGACGCUGAGGAGCGAAAGCGUGGGGAGCGAACAGG
Molecule: ribosomal RNA, 254 nt
Filed under: uncultured bacterium
Lineage: Bacteria
Description: partial 16S ribosomal RNA
Rfam family: Bacterial small subunit ribosomal RNA
Source: RNAcentral